GGUGAGGACUUGUGCUGAAUCAGGUGCAGGUGUGAGUGACUGGUGUUGAGGAAGGUGUGUCUGCUGUAGAUAGAAAUAAGGGAGGUGUGGCUGGUGUGUCUGCUGUAGGUAGAAAUAAGGGAGGUGUGGCUGGUGUGUCUGCUGUAGAAAUAAGGGGGUUUGGCUGGUGUGUCUGCUGUAGAAAUAAGGGAGGUGUGGCUGGUGUGUCUGCUGUAGAAAUAAGGGGGUUUGGCUGGUGUGUCUGCUGUAGAAAUAAGGGGGUGUGGCUGGUGUGUCUGCUGUAGAAAUAAGGGAGGUUUGACUGGUGUGUCUGCUGUAAAAAUAAGGGGGUGUGUGUCUGCUGUAGAGAAAUAAGGGAGGUGUGGCUGGUGUGUCUGCUGUAGAAAUAAGGGGGUUUGACUGGUGUGUCUGCUAUAGAAAUAAGGGGGUGUGUCUGCUGUAGAAAUAAGGGAGGUUUGACUGGUGUGUCUGCUGUAGAAAUAAGGGAGGUUUGGCUGGUGUGUCUGAUUGAAGAAAUAAGGGAGGUUUGGCUGGUGUGUCUGCUGUAGAAGUAAGGGAGGUUUGACUGGUGUGUCUGCUGUAGAAAUAAGGGAGGUUUGACUGGUGUGUCUGCUGUAGAAAUAAGGGAGGUUUGACUGGUGUGUCUGCUGUAGAAAUAAGUGAGGUUUGACUGGUGUGUCUGCUGUAGAAAUAAGGGAGGUUUUGCUGGUGUGUCUGAUUGUAGAAAUAACUAAUCAAAAGAUUUUCUUAACUAGGGAAGUGAGAUGUCUGUAAGUAAGGUACUAGUUGUUCAUAUGUUUUAAUUUAUAGGUGUUAUAACUUAUUAAAAAUUCCCUUGUGAUACCUAUGCAUUUACACAUUAAAGCCUAAUAUAGUCACUGAGAUUAAAGCAUUAACAUGGUAGCAAAGAACUGUACAGUACACAUAUAAUUAAUUUUUUUUUUGGCUGAAUAAUCACUAGAAAUAAUUCAUAUAAUACAGAACAGGACAGUGUGAUAACAAGCCCAUUUAACUGCUUCUUAACAUUAGGGAAGGUUGUAAGUUGUGCUUUGGUGGAGUUGAAAAAAAGGACGAGAAAUUUUUCACCAUAAUGCAGGAGCCUGAUUUUGUGUCCUUAUGUCAAGCUUUUCACUGAUGGAUUUAAUUGAUAUUAUUGUAGACCAUUUAGGAGUCCUGUGUCCUCUAGACUCUCAAUCAGGAUUUUUUUGUUAUAAUUUGGUAUACUGUACUGUGUAUCUGAAAUAUAUCCAGCAUAACAUAAUUUGAGAAUAAUGAUUUACACUUUACUGUACUGUAUAUUAUGAACAAUGAACAAUAAAUUAGUACAGUUUAUACAUGAUGUAAUUGACAAGUUCAGGUUUGGAGCAACAAAUUCCAUAUAUAAAUGUCUUUCUCUCUUUUUUCCCAUCUCUCUCUAUCUUUAUCACUGUCUCUCUCUCUCUCUUUGUAUCUAAUGUGUUUGUUUAAUUUAUCUCAUGCUCUACCCCAGACUAGUUUAGGAAGAAAACCCUUAAUGCCACAAUUACCAUAUAUAAGAGUAUCUGAACAGUCACGUAUAUAUAAACAAACCCCCCCUUUCUCUCUUCUCCUCCCUCUCCUCUAGGUCGUCCAGAUCACCGACACACCUCACUGAAAUGCACCUUUAUUCUUGCCAUACCAAAUUGCUUCUAUCCCCAACCUACUUCACUUGCCCAGAUUGUACAGGCAAUUUCCGAAUGUUUUUUCAUGAUUGGAACCCUUUUGUAAAUUGAGGGAUGAUUUUUAUAAGCAUGUUUGAACCACCUUCCCCCCUCUCUCUCUCUCUCUCUCUCUCUCUCUCCAUUGGUUCAUUUCAUUCCUAUUUUAUAACUUAUUCCAGUCUGCUAACUUACCAUGAUGCAUUUUGUAUAUAAUCUUGAAAGUGCUUUUUUCUACAUCAUCCUUUCCACUGUUGAUAGUGACUGAUACACCCUUGUUGCUCCUCCACACAGUGAUUGUUAGGACCCCACAGGUAUAGUCUCCUGCACUUAUACCUGGUACAGUGGCUUGUGCAUUUUGUGAGAUGUGGCAAUGCUGUGGAAUGAUUAUCUAGCAUCCUUAGUCUGGCUAAUAUUGUGAGGUUCCUUUGGGCCAUUCUGGAAGUUUUAAUAUGAUGUACAUAAGCUCAGUUGCCACAUCUAAAAAAAGCGCCAACUGCUGUAUUGUACCAGGUAAUAGUGCAGGUGAUUAUAUUAGGUACUAAAACAUAAUACAAAUUCAACUUGUGGAUUAUUUUUUAUCCUGAUUGAGUGAGUGGACACUGCGAGAUAUAAAUAGUAAUGUAGCUGCUUCAGUUGAAUAGAGAGGCCAAAGGUUCGACAAAAGCUCUAUGAAUAUUUUGUUGAGACUUUUAAAUCAUUAUUAUCUUGCUGUUACUCUUGAUAAUGCAUAGAUGUUGCUGCUGGUCAUAUACACAUUGUACACUUUAAUAUCUCUUGUGCUUAAUAACCGCUCAUUUCCACUAAGUUAUACUAACCAUAACCAGUCAGACAGUGAAUUCUUUAUCUUAUCAAUUCUAUAUGAAGUUAUUGUGGUUUGUAUAUAUGACAGGAUACUUAAAAAUAAUGUAAUUAUAUAAAAAAGAUUAAUUUGAAGUAGACAAUGGUGUGAUUAAUUUUUUCAAUAAAUUUUGUUGUUGUGUUCCAUUCCCCAUCUCUUUAUCUAUACAGUACAUGCUUUAUAAUAGCAUGAUCAGUAUCAUUAUGUAAGGAUUAUUUAACCCUCCCCAAUUGGCAAUUACCUGAAUUGCAUGUUAUAGUUGUUUCUACAUAAUUGUUAUUUGGUUCAAUCUUUCCUAAAUUUUUUCAGGUUGUGAUUGUUGCAUACAUGUCUGAAAUUAUACUUUGCAUGUGAUCAUGGAGCUGUAAUUUGCCAUCUGACAUUAAGAUUGGGAAGGCAUAGAGACCUUUUGCUUAUACUGUUGUAAGGUGACAUGGGGUGUGGCUCAGAGACCCAACACUGUUACACAAUACUUAGAUAAAGAGUGUUUGAUAAUGCUGAUACAUGACAUACUACUUUACUUAUUGGUGAUAAGUCUGAAUUUACUGGAAGUUUUCAUUCCAUUUUUGUCAUUAUUGUCCAUGACAUUGGGGAUAUGAGGAUUUUACCUGAUUGACUAGCAUGUCCACAGUAGAGCAGUUAAAUGAUGUAGUAUAUAGCAUGAGUUGAAAUAAGAACUGCUCAUGUAUUUCACGUUGUGUCAAAUAAUAUUAAAAGUUUUCCUACUAAUACUAACGCAGCUGCACAUUACCACAGUUUUUGGAAAGGGUUGUUUAAGUCAUUAGCAAGUCAUCAUAAUAAACUUAUUUUUCUCUCCUUGAUAACACUUGACUCACUGGAAGAGUGACCCCUCAAUAACAUACUGAUAUAUCUGGUGUGUGGUAAGUUGCAUUGGCUCGGCCUGGCACGUGUAGACUUCCUAUUCAUAUAACCUAGAAUUGUGCCGCUGUGUCAAGCUGGAGUAGAGUUUAUUUCCACACGUUUCUCAAGGGGGAAAAAUCAACCCGAAAUCCUGUGCAGUUGACAGAUCCAGAUUGUCACUUAAGGUUUAGUUUUUGUAUAUCCUUGCGUCAUCCCAGGGAUUUCGGCGACACAUUUUUUCCCGUAUAUGUGAAUGGAAAAUGAACUCUACUGCAUGAGCGCAGG
Homarus americanus (American lobster) is the source of this 3663-nucleotide long non-coding RNA. RefSeq lists it as uncharacterized. NCBI's taxonomy places the organism in Eukaryota, Metazoa, Arthropoda, Malacostraca, Decapoda, Nephropidae. The transcript is spliced from 3 exons. The record is from RefSeq and is a predicted model, not a curated record.